RNAcentral lists this ribosomal RNA (460 nucleotides) under uncultured Bacteroidota bacterium. RNAcentral describes it as "uncultured Bacteroidetes bacterium partial 16S ribosomal RNA". The record is from RNAcentral. Lineage: Bacteria; Pseudomonadati; Bacteroidota.
GACUACCGGGGUAUCUAAUCCUGUUCGAUCCCCACGCUUUCGUGCCUCAGCGUCAGUGUCGGUCCAGUAAGCUGCCUACGCAAUUGGUGUUCUGUGUAAUAUCUAAGCAUUUCACCGCUACAUUACACAUUCCGCCUACCUUAACCAAACUCAAGACUAACAGUAUCAAUGGCAGUUCUGCAGUUAAGCUGCAGGAUUUCACCACUGACUUAUUAGUCCGCCUACGCACCCUUUAAACCCAAUGAAUCCGGAUAACGCUCGCAUCCUCCGUAUUACCGCGGCUGCUGGCACGGAGUUAGCCGAUGCUUAUUCCCGAAAUACCGUCAAUCAACGACACGUCGCUGAGUUUCGCCUUUCGGAAAAGCAGUUUACAACCCAUAGGGCCGUCUUCCUGCACGCGGGAUGGCUGGUUCAGGCUUGCGCCCAUUGACCAAUAUUCCUCACUGCAGCCCCCCGUAGG